CAGUAGCCGCGGGAAUACGGAGGGGGCUAGCGUUGUUCGGAAUUACUGGGCGUAAAGCGCACGUAGGCGGCUUUGUAAGUUAGAGGUGAAAGCCCGGAGCUCAACUCCGGAAUUGCCUUUAAGACUGCAGAGCUAGCAGGUGAGAGAGGUGAGUGGAAUUCCGAGUGUAGAGGUGAAAUUCGUAGAUAUUCGGAAGAACACCAGUGGCGAAGGCGGCUCACUGGCUCAUACUGGACGCUGAGGUGCGAAAGCGUGGGGAGCAAACAGGAUUAGAUACCCCAGUAGUCCCUGUCUCUUAUAA
RNAcentral lists this ribosomal RNA (301 nucleotides) under uncultured bacterium. Its description in RNAcentral is "partial 16S ribosomal RNA". It matches the Rfam family "Bacterial small subunit ribosomal RNA", at positions 509 to 809 of the family's 1533-position model. The record is from RNAcentral.